GGGCCCAUGGCUCAAUGGUCAGAGCAGGGGACUCAUAAUCCCUUGGUUGCAGGUUCGAAUCCUGCUGGGCCCACCA
RNAcentral lists this transfer RNA (76 nucleotides) under Actinomycetota bacterium. Its description in RNAcentral is "tRNA-Ile". It matches the Rfam family "tRNA". Rfam says of the family: Transfer RNA (tRNA) molecules are approximately 80 nucleotides in length. Lineage: Bacteria; Bacillati; Actinomycetota. The record is from RNAcentral.